Molecule: long non-coding RNA, 578 nt
Organism: Labrus mixtus (cuckoo wrasse)
Lineage: Eukaryota; Metazoa; Chordata; Actinopteri; Labriformes; Labridae
Exons: 3
Source: RefSeq, a predicted model, not a curated record
GUCUCACAACACUGCCCCUCUGCUUGUCCACAAAUGCACAUUGUCUGUGAGGGGGAGUAGUGGGGCACAUCAAAUAGUUCCUCUUUCAGUGUGAAGCUGCAGUUUAUAAGGUGCCAUGUUUCUAGUUCACUCAGGUUUUGGUGCCGUGCAGUGUAUGAAGAUGUGGACUCUCGCUGCAGACCGCUGGAUCUGUCUGCUCGCUCUGGCUGCAGUGAUGCUCGUCUCUGCAGGGUUCGAGUUAAGUGUGGAGAUUGGGAGUGUAUCAACUCUGAUUCAAAGUGGAUUAAAAAGGAGAUGGACAUGGGCAACAUAAGCUGUCGUCCAGAAUAAAGAAAAUGAGAAAUGGGAAUUGAUGUGGAGCAGCAAAAACCACGCAGCUACUGUGAUCAACUGCGAUGAACAACUCCUUAUGGCUUUUAUGAAUAUAUUCUUUACAUUUCUUGCUUUUAUGGAAUUUCUUUCUGCAGCUUGAAUUAUGUCCAGGUCAUAAGUGAGCAUGAAGUUAGUGAGAGCUACUAAAAUGUUUUUUCCAAACACAUAUUAGAAGUAUUUCUUCCAAUUUUAGUCAAGGUUGUCAA